GUUGCGGUUAAAAAGCCCGUAGUUGGAUCUCGGCGGGCAGGGGGUGGUUCGCUCUUCAGCGCUACUGCCCCGCUUUGCCCGUGUGAUUGGCGGAGGUUUCGGGGUGCUCUUCGUUGAGUGACUCGGAGCGCCGUCAGGUUUACUUUGAAAAAAUUAGAGUGCUCAAAGCAGGCUUUUCACGCUUGAAAAUUCGUGCAUGGAAUAAUGGAAUAGGAACUCGUUUCUAUUUUGUUGGUUCUCGGGAAUCGAGUUAAUGAUUAACAGGGACAAUUGGGGGCAUUAGUAUUCAGACGACAGAGGUGAAAUUCUUGGACCGUCUGAAGACUGACUACUGCGAAAGCAUUUGCCAAGAGUGUUUUCAUUAAUCAAGAACGAAAGUUAGAGGUUCGAAGGCGAUCAGAUACCGCCCUAGUUCUAACCAUAAACGAUGCCAGCUAGCGAUCUGCCGAGUUUUUUUGUAGGCUCCGCAGGAAGCUUUCGGGAAACCAAAGCUUUUGGGUUCCGGGGGAAGUAUGG
This 516-nucleotide ribosomal RNA is filed under the name uncultured marine eukaryote. RNAcentral describes it as "SSU rRNA". It matches the Rfam family "Eukaryotic small subunit ribosomal RNA", at positions 612 to 1128 of the family's 1831-position model. The record is from RNAcentral.